GGCCCUUCCAGAGAUGCUGAGAGAGCGUCACUGCCUCUUAGCAACUCGCCUAGCAACUCGCCAACAUCUUCUCCCUCUGGACCAAUCCGGGAAGGAAGGGAACAUCUGGGCACCCGCCUCCCUGCUUUCUGAAGGGAGGGAGCCGAUGAUCUCGCCAGUGAACUGUGGAAGGAGACUGGGAGAGCUAGGUUGGCGGUGGCAGCCACCAGAGCCUUGCUCAGGGCAGCAAGAAGAGGGCGGUCCUGCAACCAGCUGCUCUUUGGCAUGUGCGCUUCAGGGAUUGCUAGGAAGGUGUUUGUUCAGCAGAAGUGUGUGA
This 316-nucleotide long non-coding RNA is filed under the name Salvator merianae (Argentine black and white tegu). RNAcentral's name for it is "lncRNA (ENSSMRG00000012774.1)". Lineage: Eukaryota; Metazoa; Chordata; Lepidosauria; Squamata; Teiidae. The record is from RNAcentral.